This 383-nucleotide ribosomal RNA is filed under the name Lemidia suturalis. RNAcentral describes it as "partial 12S ribosomal RNA". Lineage: Eukaryota; Metazoa; Arthropoda; Insecta; Coleoptera; Cleridae. The record is from RNAcentral.
UAAAAUUAAAAAAUUUGGCGGUAUUUUAGUCUUUUCAGAGGAACCUGUUCUGUAAUUGAUAAUCCACGAUUAAUUGUACUUACUUUUAUAAAUUUAUAUAUCGUCGUAGUUUGAAUAUUUUUAAAGAAAAUUAAUAUUCAAGAUUUUUUAUUAAAAAAUAAAUCAGAUCAAGGUGUAGUUUAUAAGUAAGAAGAAAUGGGUUACUAUAAAUAUAUUUAUGGAUUUAUUUAUUAAAAUAAAUAAUGAAAUAGGAUUUGAAAGUAAUUUUAAAUAUUUUUUUAAAAUGAUUUUAGCUCUAAAAUAUGUACAUAUUGCCCGUCGCUUUUGUUUUAAAAUGAAAUAAGUCGUAACAAAGUAGAUUUACUGGAAAGUGAAUCUAGAAA